CCUACGGGAGGCAGCAGUGAGGAAUAUUGGUCAAUGGACGAGAGUCUGAACCAGCCAAGUAGCGUGAAGGAUGACUGCCCUAUGGGUUGUAAACUUCUUUUAUAUGGGAAUAAAAUGUUCCACGUGUGGGAUUUUGUAUGUACCAUAUGAAUAAGGAUCGGCUAACUCCGUGCCAGCAGCCGCGGUAAUACGGAGGAUCCGAGCGUUAUCCGGAGUUAUUGGGUUUAAAGGGAGCGUAGGUGGAUUGUUAAGUCAGUUGUGAAAGUUUGGGGCUCAACCGUAAAAUUGCAGGUGAAACUGGCAGUCUUGAGUACAGUAGAGGUGGGCGGAAUUCGUGGUGUAGCGGUGAAAUGCUUAGAUAUCACGAAGAACUCCGAUUGCGAAGGCAGUUCACUGGACUGAAACUGACACUGAGGCUCGAAAGUGUGGGUAUCAAACAGGAUUAGAUACCGUGUAGUC
Molecule: ribosomal RNA, 459 nt
Filed under: uncultured bacterium
Lineage: Bacteria
Description: partial 16S ribosomal RNA
Rfam family: Bacterial small subunit ribosomal RNA
Source: RNAcentral